GACGAACGCUGGCGGCGUGCUUAACACAUGCAAGUCGAACGGAAAGGCCCUGCUUUUGUGGGGUGCUCGAGUGGUGAACGGGUGAGUAACACGUGAGUAACCUGCCCUUGACUUUGGGAUAACUUCAGGAAACUGGGGCUAAUACCGGAUAGGAGCUCCUGCUGCAUGGUGGGGGUUGGAAAGUUUCGGCGGUUGGGGAUGGACUCGCGGCUUAUCAGCUUGUUGGUGGGGUAGUGGCUUACCAAGGCUUUGACGGGUAGCCGGCCUGCGAGGGUGACCGGCCACAUUGGGACUGAGAUACGGCCCAGACUCCUACGGGAGGCAGCAGUGGGGAAUAUUGCACAAUGGGCGGAAGCCUGAUGCAGCAACGCCGCGUGCGGGAUGACGGCCUUCGGGUUGUAAACCGCUUUCGCCUGUGACGAAGCGUGAGUGACGGUAAUGGGUAAAGAAGCACCGGCUAACUACGUG
This 468-nucleotide ribosomal RNA is filed under the name uncultured bacterium. Its description in RNAcentral is "partial 16S ribosomal RNA". It matches the Rfam family "Bacterial small subunit ribosomal RNA", at positions 28 to 507 of the family's 1533-position model. The record is from RNAcentral.